CCUACGGGAGGCUGCAGUGGGGGAUAUUGCACAAUGGGGGGAACCCUGAUGCAGCGACGCCGCGUGAACGAGGAAGGUCUUCGGAUCGUAAAGUUCUGUUGAAGGGGAAAAAGAGCGGAGAGAGGAAAUGAUCUCUGAUUGAUAUUACCCUUCGAGGAAGUCACGGCUAACUACGUGCCAGCAGCCGCGGUAAUACGUAGGUGGCGGGCGUUAUCCGGAAUGAUUGGGCGUAAAGGGUGCGUAGGCGGCCUGCUAAGGCUGGAGGGAAAGGUACCGGCUCAACCGGUACAGGCUCUGGGAACUGGCGGGCUAGGGGGGAGCAGAGGGCAGUGGAACUCCAUGUGUAGCGGGAAAAUGCGUGGAUAUAUGG
RNAcentral lists this ribosomal RNA (370 nucleotides) under uncultured bacterium. RNAcentral describes it as "partial 16S ribosomal RNA". It matches the Rfam family "Bacterial small subunit ribosomal RNA", at positions 338 to 701 of the family's 1533-position model. The record is from RNAcentral.